Molecule: ribosomal RNA, 251 nt
Filed under: uncultured prokaryote
Description: partial 16S rRNA
Rfam family: Bacterial small subunit ribosomal RNA
Source: RNAcentral
AAGUAGGGGGCGAGCGUUGCUCGGAUUGACUGGGCGUAAAGCGCGAGUAGGCGGUCCAUUAAGUGUGCGGUGAAAUUCAGAGGCUCAACCUCUGUCCCGCCGCGCAAGCUGGUGGUCUUGAGAUUGUGAGGUGGAUGCGGAAUUCCUGGUGUAGCGGUGAAAUGCUUUGAUAUCAGGAGGAACACCGGCGGCGAAAGCGGCAUCCUGGCUUAUAUCUGACGCUGAUGCGCGAAAGCGUGGGUAGCAAACGG